GAUGAACGCUGGCGGCGUGCUUAACACAUGCAAGUCGAACGAUGAAGCCCAGCUUGCUGGGUGGAUUAGUGGCGAACGGGUGAGUAACACGUGAGCAACCUGCCCCUGACUCUGGGAUAAGCGCUGGAAACGGCGUCUAAUACUGGAUAUGUCCCGUCACCGCAUGGUGUGCGGGUGGAAAGAUUUUUCGGUUGGGGAUGGGCUCGCGGCCUAUCAGCUUGUUGGUGAGGUAAUGGCUCACCAAGGCGUCGACGGGUAGCCGGCCUGAGAGGGUGACCGGCACACCGGGACCUGGACACGGCCCCAGCCCCCUCCGGAGGGCGGAGGGGGGAAUUUUUCCCAAAUGGCCGAAAGCCUAAUGAGGCACGCCGCGGGAGGGAUGACGGCCUUCGGGUUGUAAACCUCUUUUAGCAGGGAAGAAGCGAAAGUGACGGUACCUGCAGAAAAAGCACCGGCUAACUACGUG
This 466-nucleotide ribosomal RNA is filed under the name uncultured bacterium. Its description in RNAcentral is "partial 16S ribosomal RNA". It matches the Rfam family "Bacterial small subunit ribosomal RNA", at positions 28 to 507 of the family's 1533-position model. The record is from RNAcentral.